RNAcentral lists this ribosomal RNA (506 nucleotides) under uncultured bacterium. Its description in RNAcentral is "bacterial SSU rRNA". It matches the Rfam family "Bacterial small subunit ribosomal RNA", at positions 28 to 524 of the family's 1533-position model. The record is from RNAcentral.
GAUGAACGCUAGCGGCAGGCCUAAUACAUGCAAGACGAACGGUAAGUUGAGUAGCAAUACUUAGCCAAGAGUGUCGUACGGGUGCGUAACACGUAUGCAACCUACCCUAUACAGGAGGAUAGCCUAGGGAAACCUGGAUUAACCCUUCAUAGUAUUAUUGGAUGGCAUCAUUUGAUAAUUAAAACUGAGGUGGUAUAGGAUGGGCAUGCGUCUGAUUAGUUAGUUGGCGGGGUAAUGGCCCACCAAGACGAUGAUCAGUAGGGGUUCUGAGAGGAAGAUCCCCCCACACUGGCACUGAGAUACGGGCCAGACUCCUACGGGAGGCAGCAGUAGGGAAUAUUGGGUCAAUGGAUGCAAGUCUGAACCAGCCAUGCCGCGUGCAGGGAAGAAGGCCCUUUCUGGGGUUGUAAACUGCUUUUGCCAGGGGAUAAAAUUUCCAUGCGUGGAAAACUGAAGGUACCUGGUGAAUAAGCCACGGCUAACUCCGUGCCAGCAGCCGCGGUAAU